Molecule: ribosomal RNA, 587 nt
Filed under: Entamoeba sp.
Lineage: Eukaryota; Evosea; Mastigamoebida; Endamoebidae
Description: bacterial SSU rRNA
Rfam family: Eukaryotic small subunit ribosomal RNA
Source: RNAcentral
AUUGGAGGGCAAGUCUGGUGCCAGCAGCCGCGGUAAUUCCAGCUCCAAUAGUGUAUAUUAAAGUUGCUGUGAUUAAAACGCUCGUAGUUUGAAUUAUAAGACACUAGAAUGGGCAGAAGCUUUUCGAAGUGGAGCUCUAUUCGCUAAGGUGUUUAGGUGAUACUUACUUCGGUUAGUGUCAUUACUUUGAAAAAAAUAGGGUGUUUAAAGCAAAUCUUAUGUUAAUGAAUAAUGAAGCAUGGGACAAUAUUGAAGGAGAUCCUUUAUGGAUUUCGAGGAUAAGGAUUAAGAGGAACAAUUGGGGUGAUUCAGAAAAUAACGGGAGAGGUAAAAUUCCAUGAUCGCUAUAAGAUGCACGAGAGCGAAAGCAUUUCACUCAAUUGCGUUCAUUAAUCAAGAACGAAAGUUAGGGGAUCGAAGACGAUUAGAUACCGUCGUAGUCCUAACUAUAAACGAUGUCAACCAAGGAUUGGAUUAGUUUUUGAGUGACUAAGAGUUAAUAGCAUUGCUAUUGACUCGAAGGAACUCGCUUUCACCUUAUUCAGAACUUAAAGAGAAAUCUUGAGUUUAUGGACUUCAGGGGGAGU